UACGUAGGUGGCGAGCGUUGUCCGGAUUUACUGGGCGUAAAGGGAGCGUAGGCGGACUUUUAAGUGAGAUGUGAAAUACCCGGGCUCAACUUGGGUGCUGCAUUUCAAACUGGAAGUCUAGAGUGCAGGAGAGGAGAAUGGAAUUCCUAGUGUAGCGGUGAAAUGCGUAGAGAUUAGGAAGAACACCAGUGGCGAAGGCGAUUCUCUGGACUGUAACUGACGCUGAGGCUCGAAAGCGUGUGGAGCAAACAGGAUUAGAUACCCCU
Molecule: ribosomal RNA, 266 nt
Filed under: uncultured prokaryote
Description: partial 16S ribosomal RNA
Rfam family: Bacterial small subunit ribosomal RNA
Source: RNAcentral